CAGCUUUUACUCGGUUGGUUGCUUGCAGAUAUUGUGGUUAUUGUUUAUUUAUUUGUCCGGUAACUGGUUGGUGUUCGGAUAUCGUUGGCGAAUGUGUGAUUAAGAUGGUAACUUGAAUUAGUCAUACACGGACCUUUGAUUUUUCGUACUGUUCUAGCAUCAGAGUGUUGCCCGUUUGAAGACCUGAAAAAGCAUAUUGAUCCGUUUAUUAGAACUUACUACGUACAUGUAAAGCUUACAGCCGAAUUGACAAGCUGUCAGCACUACUACAGCCGGAGAUUGUUCCGCUUGCUGGUAUUGGAUUUGUAGGUCGUCGGCUACGGUCAGCACCCGAACAACCAGUUCUAAGUCAGAGACCAUGCGCUGCACUCGAC
Long non-coding RNA from Topomyia yanbarensis, 374 nucleotides. RefSeq lists it as uncharacterized. The record is from RefSeq and is a predicted model, not a curated record. The transcript has 3 exons. Lineage: Eukaryota; Metazoa; Arthropoda; Insecta; Diptera; Culicidae.